Molecule: ribosomal RNA, 757 nt
Filed under: uncultured bacterium
Lineage: Bacteria
Description: bacterial SSU rRNA
Rfam family: Bacterial small subunit ribosomal RNA
Source: RNAcentral
AGUUUGAUCAUGGCUCGGGAUAAACGCUGGCGGCGUGCAUGAGACAUGCAAGUCGAACGAACAAUCCAGGGCUUGCCCUGGGGCGUGAGUGGCGAACGGCUGAGUAACGCGUGGGUGACCUGCCCAGAAGUGGGGAAUAACUGCCCGAAAGGGUGGCUAAUACCGCAUGUGGUCAUGCCUUCAUCGGUAUGUCCAAAGCCUUCGGGCGCUUCUGGAGGGGCCUGCGUUCGAUUAGCUCGUUGGUGAGGUAACGGCUCACCAAGGCGACGAUCGAUAGGUGGUCUGAGAGGAUGAUCACCCAGACUGGGACUGAGACACGGCCCAGACUCCUACGGGAGGCAGCAGUCGGGAAUUUUGCUCAAUGGGGGAAACCCUGAAGCAGCAACGCCGCGUGAGGGAUGAAGGCCUUCGGGUUGUAAACCUCUUUUCUCAGGGACGAUAAUGACGGUACCUGAGGAAUAAGCCACGGCUAACUACGUGCCAGCAGCCGCGGUAAUACGUAGGUGGCAAGCGUUGUCCGGAUUUACUGGGCGUAAAGAGCGCGCAGGCGGCCAAGUAAGUCGAAUGUGAAAGCCCCCGGCUCAACUGGGGAAGGUCAUUCGAUACUGCCUGGCUUGAAGAUAGGAGAGGGAAGCGGAAUUUCCGGUGUAGUGGUGAAAUGCGUAGAUAUCGGAAGAAACACCAGUGGCGAAGGCGGCUUUCUGGCCUAUUCUUGACGCUGAGGCGCGAAAGCUAGGGGAGCGAACGGGAUUAGAUA